This 771-nucleotide long non-coding RNA is filed under the name Gallus gallus (chicken). The record is from RNAcentral. Lineage: Eukaryota; Metazoa; Chordata; Aves; Galliformes; Phasianidae.
CGGGGCUGAACUUGCACUGCAGGGCAUAGCGGUUGUGUGCUGGGAUCUUGGUCUUGGGGAUCAGCUGCGUUACCUCCUCUCCGAUGCCACCCGUCAGGUUCCACACGUAGCAGUUUCCCGAGCUGUUGACAGCUGCCAUGUAGCUGGCAUCAGGGUCAAUGUGCACAGAGUUCACGGAGACUUCAGGCUCUGGAAUCAGCUGCUCAUUGUGGUCUGUUUUCAGGUCCCAGAUAUGAAUGGCCCCGCUCUGGUCACCCACAAUUAGCUCAGCCUGAUUGGGGUGCAGGCAGACGCAGUUAAUGGGAGCAUUCACUUGGAAGAUCCGCUGGCACUGCAGGUUACGAGACCUGAGGUCCCAUAUCCGUGCCAUGCAGUCCUCCCCACCCGUGUACAUCCAGCGCCCGUCCUCGUGGAAGCCCACGGAGGUGAUGUUCUUGCUCACACCAUCGUAGUUGAUGACGGGGUUGGGGUUGUUGGAGUUGAGGUCAUACAUGCGGAUGUGUUGGUACCCUGCGGCCGCAAUCAUGCUGCGGUCGGGCGUGAUCUCCAGGGCGUUCACCUGGGAGUCCUGGUGCUGCACGGUGCGGGUGCAGAUGCCGCUGUGCGCUUGCCAGAAGCGCACCGUGUGGUCGUACCCCGCGGUGGCCAGGAUGACGGGGUCGCUGCCCACCGUGCCCUGUGCCGCGUUCAUGGCGGCGGCGCCGCGGGGACCCGCUCAGGGCGGGCCCGGCCCGGUGGCGGCCGGCACGGACGGCACGGGAGGCUCUGCGC